RNAcentral lists this ribosomal RNA (460 nucleotides) under uncultured bacterium. Its description in RNAcentral is "partial 16S ribosomal RNA". It matches the Rfam family "Bacterial small subunit ribosomal RNA", at positions 338 to 795 of the family's 1533-position model. The record is from RNAcentral.
CCUACGGGCGGCAGCAGUGAGGAAUAUUGGUCAAUGGCCGGAAGGCUGAACCAGCCAUGCCGCGUGAAGGUCAGUGCCCUCUGGGCGUUAAACUUCUUUUGUGCGGGAGCAAUAAUGGUCACGUGUGGCCAGACGAGAGUACCGUACGAAUAAGCAUCGGCUAACUCCGUGCAAGCAGCCGCGGUAAUACGGGGGAUGCAAGCGUUAACCGGAAUUAUUGGGUUUAAAGGGUGCGUAGGCUGUGAGGUAAGUCAGCUGUGAAAUGCCCCCGCUCAACGGGGUGCAGUGUCAUUGAUACUGCCUUGCGGGAAUGCGGAUGCCGUGGGAGGAAUGUGUGGUGUAGCGGUGAAAUGCAUAGAUAGCACACAGAACACCGAUUGCGAAGGCAUCUCACGAAUCCGCGAUUGACGCUGAUGCACGAAAGCGUGGGUAUCAAACAGGAUUAGAUACCCUUGUAGUC